UUUUCCUACGGGAGGCAGCAGUAGGGAAUCUUCCACAAUGGACGAAAGUCUGAUGGAGCAACGCCGCGUGAGUGAAGAAGGGUUUCGGCUCGUAAAGCUCUGUUGGUAGUGAAGAAAGAUAGAGGUAGUAACUGGCCUUUAUUUGACGGUAAUUACUUAGAAAGUCACGGCUAACUACGUGCCAGCAGCCGCGGUAAUACGUAGGGGGCAAGCGUUAUCCGGGAUGAUUUGGGGGAA
Molecule: ribosomal RNA, 237 nt
Filed under: uncultured bacterium
Lineage: Bacteria
Description: partial 16S ribosomal RNA
Rfam family: Bacterial small subunit ribosomal RNA
Source: RNAcentral